This 450-nucleotide ribosomal RNA is filed under the name uncultured bacterium. RNAcentral's name for it is "partial 16S ribosomal RNA". It matches the Rfam family "Bacterial small subunit ribosomal RNA", at positions 338 to 795 of the family's 1533-position model. The record is from RNAcentral.
CCUACGGGCGGCUGCAGUGGGGAAUCUUGCGCAAUGGACGAAAGUCUGACGCAGCGACGCCGCGUGGGUGAUGAAGGCCUUCGGGUUGUAAAGCCCUGUGGGGAGAGAAGAAUAAGUGCGGGCUAAUACCCCGCAUGAUGACGGUAUCUCCUUAGCAAGCACCGGCUAACUCUGUGCCAGCAGCCGCGGUAAGACAGAGGGGGCAAACGUGGUUCGGAAUUACUGGGCGGCAAGCGUGUAUGUCGGGUCUGAAAGCCCCGGGCUCAACCCGGGAAGUGCACUCGAGACUGUUAGGCUAGAGUACUGGAGAGGUUGGUGGAAUUCUCGGUGUAGAGGUGAAAUUCGUAGAUAUCGAGAGGAACACCGGUGGCGAAGGCGGCCAACUGGACAGAUACUGACGCUGAGACACGAAAGCGUGGGGAGCAAACAGGAUUAGAUACCCGGGUAGUC